CACCUACUCCCUCCGUUCGGAAUUACUUAUCUUGAAAAUGGAUGUAUCUAGAACUAAAAUACGUCUAGAUACAUCCAUUUCUGCGACAUGUAAUUUCGAACGGAGGGAGUAAAUU
Molecule: non-coding RNA, 115 nt
Organism: Triticum aestivum (bread wheat)
Lineage: Eukaryota; Viridiplantae; Streptophyta; Magnoliopsida; Poales; Poaceae
Source: Rfam